RNAcentral lists this microRNA precursor (112 nucleotides) under Loxodonta africana (African savanna elephant). RNAcentral's name for it is "microRNA 92a-2 (ENSLAFG00000023790.1)". The stretch from base 19 to 98 matches the Rfam family "mir-92 microRNA precursor family". From Rfam's summary of the family: This family represents the microRNA precursor mir-92. Human miR-92 has two predicted hairpin precursor sequences: mir-92-1 on chromosome 13 and mir-92-2 on chromosome X. miR-92 has also been cloned from mouse embryonic stem cells. Lineage: Eukaryota; Metazoa; Chordata; Mammalia; Proboscidea; Elephantidae. The record is from RNAcentral.
UCUCCGGCGUUUCUGCUCGUUCAUCCAUGGGUGGGGAUUGAGUGCAUUGCUUGUGUUAUGUAUAAAGUAUUGCACUUGUCCCGGCCUAUGGAAGAAAGGAGGAUCUUAUCAU